CGGGAAGUAGCUCAGCUUGGUAGAGCACUUGGUUUGGGACCAAGGGGUCGCGAGGUUCAAAUCCUGUCUUCCCGA
Molecule: transfer RNA, 75 nt
Filed under: Staphylococcus pseudintermedius
Lineage: Bacteria; Bacillati; Bacillota; Bacilli; Caryophanales; Staphylococcaceae
Description: tRNA-Pro
Rfam family: tRNA
About the family: Transfer RNA (tRNA) molecules are approximately 80 nucleotides in length.
Source: RNAcentral